Long non-coding RNA from Melanotaenia boesemani (Boeseman's rainbowfish), 967 nucleotides. RefSeq lists it as uncharacterized. The transcript has 3 exons. The record is from RefSeq and is a predicted model, not a curated record. NCBI's taxonomy places the organism in Eukaryota, Metazoa, Chordata, Actinopteri, Atheriniformes, Melanotaeniidae.
GGACAAGGUUCCUUGGUAAGGCAGGAAAAGCAUCUGGAAAGGGUUAACAAGGAGGUGUGGGCCACCAUUUUGGCUCUGAUCUGGCUUCAUGGUUUCAAGAUGGAUGCUAAGGAAGAGUGGGAGCUUCUGACCAUGAAGGCUGCAUCAUGGCUCCGUGCUCAGAAUGCAGCAUGUGGGACAGAAUGUGUGAAAGCUGGAAUUCUGCUGCUGGGAUGCAGCGUGCAGAAAUCUGCUCUGGGGAUCUGAGGUCUUCACUGAGUGGCAUCACUUUCAGAAUCAUUACACAGAACAUUUACUCCAUUGUACAACUUUCUGAAUGCAUAUUACUCUUUAUAAACUCCCCAUUUAUAAUGAGCCUUGCUAUGUUAUUGAGCACCUACCCAGAACAGGUCUAACAACUCAAAUAAAAUCUUUUGUUUGAUGUCUUUGUUUAUUUUCAGUGAUUUGGAAAAGCUGGUCCUUGCGUUUUUCUUCAUUAGACUUGAUUACUGUGACAGUGUAUUUAUUGGUCUGCCAAAAAUAUCUAUCAGGCAGCUGUGACUAAUUCAGUAUACUGCUGUCUAAAAUAGAUAAAUAAAAAAAAUAGACUGGAAUACCAGAAUCUAAUUCCAGUCCUGAUGUCUCUUCUCUGGUUUCUUGUCUAUGAAAAAGUUGAUGUUGGUUAAUAAAGCUUUGAAAGAUCUAGAGCCCAAAUAAAGCUGCUUUCACCAAACUAAGGUAUUUUCAUGUACUUGCACCAUAAACUCAGUAAAUAAAUACAACACACUUGACUGAUAAGUUUUAAAGCCUUGUGUGUGGGAUUUCACUGUGACCUUCAGAAACUCCAGGAUACACACGGAUGUUCUUUGACCCUGUCCUGACUGGUCAGAGCUCUUUUGCAUAGAGGACCUGUUGAACAUUACUCAUAAUAUGUAAAAGUUAAAUCCAAAGUAUCCUGUAGCUUAAAGCUUUUCAUGUUGAAAUAUUC